RNAcentral lists this non-coding RNA (45 nucleotides) under Trichobilharzia regenti. Lineage: Eukaryota; Metazoa; Platyhelminthes; Trematoda; Strigeidida; Schistosomatidae. The record is from RNAcentral.
GUUGACAUGACGAGUCCCAAACAGGACGAAAUGCGCAUCCUGGAU